GAUGAACGCUGGCGGCGUGCUUAACACAUGCAAGUCGAACGGAAAGGCUCCUGCUUGCAGCGGUCCUCGAGUGGCGAACGGGUGAGUAACACGUGGGUGAUCUGCCCUUCACUUCGGGGUAUGCCUGGGCAACUGGGUCUAUUACCGGAUAGGACGUUUGUUUGGAUGCUAUUCUGGAAAGUUUUUCGGUGUGGGAUGAGCUCGCGGCCUAUCAGCUUGUUGGUGGUGUACUGGUCUAAGAAGGCGUUGACGGGUACCCGGACUGAGAGAGUGUACGGGCACAUCGAGACUGAGACUCGGCCCCGGCUCCGACUGGUGGGAGAAGCGGGGAAGAUUGAUCAAGGGGCGCAAGCCGGAUGCAGAGACGCCGCGGGGGGGAUGACGGUGUUCGGGUUGUAAACGCAUUGCGCUAGUGACGAGGCUUUUUGUGACGGUACCUGGAGAAGAAGCACCGGCUAACUACGUG
Molecule: ribosomal RNA, 466 nt
Filed under: uncultured bacterium
Lineage: Bacteria
Description: partial 16S ribosomal RNA
Rfam family: Bacterial small subunit ribosomal RNA
Source: RNAcentral